AAACCAUUUUUCCUCCAAAAUACGGAUUGCUCACUUCCUAUUUCUCUCUUUGGUGAAGAUAUUAUCAAGAGCCGAUGAUCUCUCCAAUUUCUAUCCAUGUUCUUCCUCCUCAAAAUCAAUGAUCAUUAAGCCAUCUUAUUAUAUAUAACGAGCCACUUAUCUUCUCCUUCAAUGAAUCUCAUGCGGCGUGUUUGUCACCAACAACUUGAAAUUGAGAUUGACUACCAAAGAUUAUUCCUAGUGCGCUUUUCUUAUUCUCAAGUAUACAACAUAUAUGAGUACCAACAAUGAAAGAACCAAAUCAAAAACAUCGUCAUGCCCACCACUGUCAAACAUCACAAAUGCGUCAAGAAAAAUAGAAACAAACAUUUGUGCCUUAUAAUUCAGUUGGUCAAAAUGAUGUAAAGAUUGACACCCAAACUAAAUGUAUUGGCAUAAGCAAAGAUUAUCUGGAUUUUGGUAAUGCGGUAUAUGUUUGCUCUGUACAUAAAGCUAGGGUUCGAAAGGGAGAAGCAAUAAGAGGAAAUAAAGAUUUAAGGAAAACGUUUUAUUCCAUAUGUUGUUACAAUGGAAAAGUAGAAUUACCAAACUUGAUUCACCCACCUUGGUUAUUGCUUGAUUUAUAUAGCGGAGUUACUGAAAAUUCCAUUCCAUUUUCAAUGUAGAUUUUUCAACGAGACUACUUAUAUACCUCGCAUGAAG
Non-coding RNA from Lactuca sativa (garden lettuce), 702 nucleotides. NCBI's taxonomy places the organism in Eukaryota, Viridiplantae, Streptophyta, Magnoliopsida, Asterales, Asteraceae. The record is from RefSeq and is a predicted model, not a curated record.